CCUACGGGGGGCAGCAGUGAGGAAUAUUGGUCAAUGGGCGGGAGCCUGAACCAGCCAAGUCGCGUGAGAGAAGACGGUCCUAUGGAUUGUAAACCUCUUUAGGCGGGGAGCAAUGCCGGGCACGUGUGCCCGGAGGGAGAGUACCCGCAGAAUAAGCAUCGGCUAACUCCGCGCCAGCAGCCGCGGUAAUACGGAGGAUGCGAGCGUUAAUCGGAAUUACUGGGCGUAAAGCGCUCGUAGGCGGUAUGUCAAGUCAAGGGUGAAAUCCCCGCGCUCAACGUGGGAACUGCCUUUGAAACUGGCAA
This 305-nucleotide ribosomal RNA is filed under the name uncultured bacterium. RNAcentral describes it as "bacterial SSU rRNA". It matches the Rfam family "Bacterial small subunit ribosomal RNA", at positions 338 to 639 of the family's 1533-position model. The record is from RNAcentral.